GACGAACGCUGGCGGCGUGCUUAACACAUGCAAGUCGAAUGGAAAGGCCCUGCUUUUGUGGGGUGCUCGAGUGGCGAACGGGUGAGUAACACGUGAGUAACCUGCCCUUGAUUUUGGGAUAACUUCAGGAAACUGGGGCUAAUACCGGAUAGGAGCUCCUGCUGCAUGGUGGGGGUUGGAAAGUUUCGGCGGUUGGGGAUGGACUCGCGGCUUAUCAGCUUGUUGGUGGGGUAGUGGCUUACCAAGGCUUUGACGGGUAGCCGGCCUGAGAGGGUGACCGGCCACAUUGGGACUGAGAUACGGCCCAGACUCCUACGGGAGGCAGCAGUGGGGAAUAUUGCACAAUGGGCGGAAGCCUGAUGCAGCAACGCCGCGUGCGGGAUGACGGCCUUCGGGUUGUAAACCGCUUUCGCCUGUGACGAAGCGUGAGUGACGGUAAUGGGUAAAGAAGCACCGGCUAACUACGUG
Molecule: ribosomal RNA, 468 nt
Filed under: uncultured bacterium
Lineage: Bacteria
Description: partial 16S ribosomal RNA
Rfam family: Bacterial small subunit ribosomal RNA
Source: RNAcentral